This 922-nucleotide ribosomal RNA is filed under the name Streptomyces sp. Its description in RNAcentral is "bacterial SSU rRNA". It matches the Rfam family "Bacterial small subunit ribosomal RNA", at positions 54 to 992 of the family's 1533-position model. The record is from RNAcentral. Lineage: Bacteria; Bacillati; Actinomycetota; Actinomycetes; Kitasatosporales; Streptomycetaceae.
CAUGCAGUCGACGAUGAACCACUUCGGUGGGGAUUAGUGGCGAACGGGUGAGUAACACGUGGGCAAUCUGCCCUUCACUCUGGGACAAGCCCUGGAAACGGGGUCUAAUACCGGAUAUGAGCCUGGGAGGCAUCUCCCGGGUUGUAAAGCUCCGGCGGUGAAGGAUGAGCCCGCGGCCUAUCAGCUUGUUGGUGAGGUAAUGGCUCACCAAGGCGACGACGGGUAGCCGGCCUGAGAGGGCGACCGGCCACACUGGGACUGAGACACGGCCCAGACUCCUACGGGAGGCAGCAGUGGGGAAUAUUGCACAAUGGGCGAAAGCCUGAUGCAGCGACGCCGCGUGAGGGAUGACGGCCUUCGGGUUGUAAACCUCUUUCAGCAGGGAAGAAGCGAGAGUGACGGUACCUGCAGAAGAAGCGCCGGCUAACUACGUGCCAGCAGCCGCGGUAAUACGUAGGGCGCAAGCGUUGUCCGGAAUUAUUGGGCGUAAAGAGCUCGUAGGCGGCUUGUCGCGUCGAUUGUGAAAGCCCGGGGCUUAACUCCGGGUCUGCAGUCGAUACGGGCUAGCUAGAGUGUGGUAGGGGAGAUCGGAAUUCCUGGUGUAGCGGUGAAAUGCGCAGAUAUCAGGAGGAACACCGGUGGCGAAGGCGGAUCUCUGGGCCAUUACUGACGCUGAGGAGCGAAAGCGUGGGGAGCGAACAGGAUUAGAUACCCUGGUAGUCCACGCCGUAAACGGUGGGAACUAGGUGUUGGCGACAUUCCACGUCGUCGGUGCCGCAGCUAACGCAUUAAGUUCCCCGCCUGGGGAGUACGGCCGCAAAGCUAAAACUCAAAGGAUUUGACGGGGCCCGCACAAGCGGCGGAGCAUGUGGCUUAAUUCGACGCAACGCGAAGAACCCUUACCAAAGGCUUGACAUACACC